Molecule: ribosomal RNA, 429 nt
Filed under: Bacteroidota bacterium
Lineage: Bacteria; Pseudomonadati; Bacteroidota
Description: Bacteroidetes bacterium partial 16S ribosomal RNA
Rfam family: Bacterial small subunit ribosomal RNA
Source: RNAcentral
UAGGGAAUCUUCCGCAAUGGACGCAAGUCUGACGGAGCAACGCCGCGUGAGUGAAGAAGGAUUUCGGUUCGUAAAACUCUGUUGUUAGAGAAGAACAGCGCAUAGAGUAACUGUUAUGCGUGUGACGGUAUCUAACCAGAAAGCCACGGCUAACUACGUGCCAGCAGCCGCGGUAAUACGUAGGUGGCAAGCGUUGUCCGGAUUUAUUGGGCGUAAAGCGAGCGCAGGCGGUCAAUUAAGUCUGAUGUGAAAGCCCCCGGCUCAACCGGGGGGGGUCAUUGGAAACUGGUUGACUUGAGUGCAGAAGAGGAGAGUGGAAUUCCAUGUGUAGCGGUGAAAUGCGUGGAUAUAUGGAGGAACACCGGUGGCGAAAGCGACUCUCUGGUAUGUAACUGACGCUGAGGCUCGAAAGCGUGGGUAGCAAACAGG